GAUAAUCGCGCUUAAUAAGUGAGGAAAGUCCGUGCAUCCAAGGACAGAUUCCCGGAGAAAUUCCGGACGGUGUGAACCGGUGGAAAGUGCCACAGAAAUGCAGACUGCCGAUGGAUUUUUUAUCACAGGCGAUGGUGCAACGGUGAGUUAAGAGCUUCACCGCAGAUACCGAGAGGUAUUGGGCAGGUAAACCCGAAUCGGAUGCAAGAUAAGAUUGAAGGCUAAGGUUGUCCGCCAUCUUCAAACAUAUCGCUUGCGGCUGUGAGUAAUUACAGUCCCAGACAAAUGAUUAUCUAAAAACAGAACACGGCUUAUGAACUGC
RNAcentral lists this RNase P RNA (322 nucleotides) under bovine gut metagenome. RNAcentral describes it as "Bacterial RNase P class A". It matches the Rfam family "Bacterial RNase P class A". From Rfam's summary of the family: Ribonuclease P (RNase P) is a ubiquitous endoribonuclease, found in archaea, bacteria and eukarya as well as chloroplasts and mitochondria. Its best characterised activity is the generation of mature 5'-ends of tRNAs by cleaving the 5'-leader elements of precursor-tRNAs. The record is from RNAcentral.